RNAcentral lists this ribosomal RNA (663 nucleotides) under uncultured Burkholderia sp. RNAcentral describes it as "bacterial SSU rRNA". It matches the Rfam family "Bacterial small subunit ribosomal RNA", at positions 61 to 719 of the family's 1533-position model. The record is from RNAcentral. Lineage: Bacteria; Pseudomonadati; Pseudomonadota; Betaproteobacteria; Burkholderiales; Burkholderiaceae.
GUCGAACGGCAGCACGGGAGCAAUCCUGGUGGCGAGUGGCGAACGGGUGAGUAAUACAUCGGAACGUGUCCUGUAGUGGGGGAUAGCCCGGCGAAAGCCGGAUUAAUACCGCAUACGCUCUACGGAGGAAAGGGGGGGAUCUUAGGACCUCUCGCUACAGGGGCGGCCGAUGGCAGAUUAGCUAGUUGGUGGGGUAAAGGCCUACCAAGGCGACGAUCUGUAGCUGGUCUGAGAGGACGACCAGCCACACUGGGACUGAGACACGGCCCAGACUCCUACGGGAGGCAGCAGUGGGGAAUUUUGGACAAUGGGGGCAACCCUGAUCCAGCAAUGCCGCGUGUGUGAAGAAGGCCUUCGGGUUGUAAAGCACUUUUGUCCGGAAAGAAAACUUCGGCCCUAAUACGGCGGGAGGAUGACGGUACCGGAAGAAUAAGCACCGGCUAACUACGUGCCAGCAGCCGCGGUAAUACGUAGGGUGCAAGCGUUAAUCGGAAUUACUGGGCGUAAAGCGUGCGCAGGCGGUUCGCUAAGACAGAUGUGAAAUCCCCGGGCUUAACCUGGGAACUGCAUUUGUGACUGGCGGGCUAGAGUAUGGCAGAGGGGGGUAGAAUUCCACGUGUAGCAGUGAAAUGCGUAGAGAUGUGGAGGAAUACCGAUGGCGAA